CCCUUAGAUGUUCUGGGCCGCACGCGUGCUACACUGAUGCAUUCAACGAGUCUAAAACCUGGUCUGAUAGGGCUGGGUAAUCUUUUGAAAGUGCAUCGUGAUUGGGAUAGAUGAUUGCAAUUCUUCAUCUUCAACGAGGAAUGCCUAGUAAACGCAAGUCAUCAGCUUGCAUUGAUUACGUCCCUACCCUUUGUACACACCGCCCGUCGCUCCUACCGAUUGAAUGAUCCGAUGAAUACCAUGGAUUGAGAGUACGAAUAGGUUCGCUUAUUUCUGCUGCUCGAGAAGUGGAGUAAAUCUUAUCAUUUAGAGGAAGGAGAAGUCGUAACA
This 330-nucleotide ribosomal RNA is filed under the name uncultured eukaryote. RNAcentral's name for it is "partial 18S ribosomal RNA". It matches the Rfam family "Eukaryotic small subunit ribosomal RNA", at positions 1470 to 1796 of the family's 1831-position model. The record is from RNAcentral.